This 29-nucleotide non-coding RNA is filed under the name Homo sapiens (human). The record is from RNAcentral. Lineage: Eukaryota; Metazoa; Chordata; Mammalia; Primates; Hominidae.
UGGUGAGUGGAGCAUUUUCCCUGGCAUGA